Molecule: unclassified non-coding RNA, 253 nt
Filed under: uncultured Gaiellaceae bacterium
Lineage: Bacteria; Bacillati; Actinomycetota; Thermoleophilia; Gaiellales; Gaiellaceae
Description: contains 16S-23S intergenic spacer region
Rfam family: Bacterial small subunit ribosomal RNA
Source: RNAcentral
UACGUAGGGGGCAAGCGUUGUCCGGAUUUAUUGGGCGUAAAGAGCGUGUAGGCGGCCUGGUAGGUCGGUUGUGAAAACUGGAGGCUUAACCUUCAGACGUCGACCGAAACCCCCAGGCUAGAGUCCGGAAGAGGAGAGUGGAAUUCCUGGUGUAGCGGUGAAAUGCGCAGAUAUCAGGAAGAACACCCGUGGCGAAGGCGGCUCUCUGGGACGGUACUGACGCUGAGACGCGAAAGCGUGGGGAGCGAACAGG